GCGGAGCAGAAAUACUGCUGCUGUGUGGGAACGUUGGAAACCUUUAAAUGUAAUAUAGCCUUAAAAUGGAUUUAAACUGAUGACCAUGGAUUUUUUAAAGUACACACUUUUGACAAAUAAAAAUAUUCAACUUAAAUUUCAAAAAGAGGACAUAAAACACAUUUAUUUAUUCAAAAGAGGUCAUCGUGUCAAAAUAUUGACCUGAGUCGAAACCUCAAACCGACCAAACAACAACACACUCUGAUACCAUACAUGCAAAUACUAACGCUAUACCCAGCACACAUUCACCAUGUUGGAUUCCCACAGUUUAAAGAUGAUCCUGCUCCUGCAACCUUGUCCAGGUUGUCACUGCAGUAAAUAUAAUUUCACUAAUUCACUUAAGAGUUUUUCAGCUUUGGAUUUCAACCAGUAACCUUUUGAUGACGAGCCUUACACAAUCACAAUACCCUAAAACUAGGAGCCAUGUCAUAUCAUCACAUCCAUGUUAGAUGAACCUUUGGAUGAAACGUUAUUCAGGUUCAGCCACAUUUAAUGGGUGAUUUGUUUUAUCAGCUUUCAAAUACAAUAAGACUUAAGGCUUUUUGUUCUUUACUUAAAUAGUUAAAACUGAGACCGUUGAAAACACAUUCACAUAAACGAAUCCCCACAUUCCCCCUUUAUCGUUAAAACUGAACAGCUCAAAUGGAUGUUUAUUUAGAGUAAUAACAUUAUUUUAAUGAGCAUUAGUCCCCGAGCUAAAUACCAAAUGUAUUCAUUUUGGAUUCCAAACGUGAUAACAUCAUAGUUCUCUGCUCGCCAAUGGUCAGUCGGUUAUGCAAGCCAAGCUGGUGUUAUGUAAACCCAUUCAGUCCCAGUUACACCACAGGCUCAGCAGAGGUCAGCUUCAGAACAACAGGGAUUAGACGAGAUCAUAGUUUGAUCUCUUACAGGGAUCAGAGGCCAGAAAGAGAUCCACAGUCGAGGCUGCGCAUGAUUUAGUUGUUUGAACGCUCAGAGGUCUGAGCCCAGUGACAGACAGUGUCAAGAGGAUGCUCGAUCAAAGCGCUGAACUCUAACCUGUGCUGUCUUUACUAUUCUUUUCUAUUCUGUUGUUUUCAUUCUUACAUUUUCAGCACCCAGUGUAUUUACUAGAGUAAAUCUGAAAACUUGCAAUGAGGAACUGACCCCUGCGAAGCCUUGCUCCCUUUAGUUAUGGUUGCUGUGUCUGCUUAGCUUUAUUUUCUGUAGAAAGUGCACCUGUUUUAGACAGAGGUGGCCAACUUUCGGCUAUAUUUUCACAUGGUUCAGUCAGACUUUGCAAUAGGAAACUGGAGCGUAACAUCUGUUUAAUGUCCAGUUUAACCGAUUUGGACAUUUGCGUUCACACGUGCGGCUCCUCCGGGUUAUGUCUCGAAAGCUCAAGCUUUUGUCUGUUACACGGUUCACAGCCUCUGUCUGGGUAACAAACUGUGGUGAGCCUCUCGCUUGCAGGCAGUUACAAAAGUUGCCGGAUUUGUCCCAUAUUUUGAACAAAAAAAGUUGCUUUUGGGGUGCAAAAAAGGGUGCAAUAAUGGAACCUGUUUGCACCAGUUCAUUUCGAAAGAGCAGUGGUCAUUUACUCACUCAUUACUUGGCCUUGUAAUGCUUGAUGUUAGUGGAGCUCUGUGCCGUACUUUUAGCUCCUUCAGCUUCAGAUACACGCAGUGGCUUCCAGCAUGGCCUUCCCAGCAAGACCAAAACCUCCUACCUAGACUCAAGGAGGAUCCUACCACACCUAGCUGUCUCUACUGUCUUUGCAGUAGAGGUUUACCUUUCCCUUCCUCCCUCUUAAAUUCCACCUCAACCUCCUCCCUUACAUCAACGUCCCCUCUCGCUACCACACCUGCGGAGACCACAGCCCACAUUGUCGUCAACUUUACCGAACACUUUCACUCUUGUAGUUUUGUUUUUCGUAAAAGCUAAAAAAGGAGACACCGCCCUUCAAAAUCUUUAGUGUCUCUUAUUUUCAAAUUCCUCAACAUGCUUAUUCACCAUUUGAGGGAAAUGAAUCCUGACAGAAUGCUAUGAUUGGACAAUUGCUGUUUUUUCGAUGGAGUGUAGCAAAACCCUCAGUUAUGACUUUCCCAUGCCGUGACUACAGCUUCUUUUUAUAUCUCCAUUACUUGAUGCUUCAGCAAAUUCUAGUCUCCUCUUUGUCCAUGAACAUCCACACUAAUAGGUUACCUAAAAACUCCAGUUCAUCUGACCCGCAUGUCUCGCAUUUGAAGAAACCAUGACAGCCCUCAAAAAGCCCAGAGGAAACAAACUCCUCUCAGAGAGGAGCAGGGCUCUGCAGGGGUUGAGCAGUGAUUUGUUGAAAUUAACAAGCGAUGGUCACAGAGAAUAAUUUCUGUCAGGGUUACUUACCCCCCUUAUAAGAAUAAAUACAUCAUUAAGAAGGGUAGUGCCGUUUGCUUUCAGCACCCUUCAAAUCACUUAGUCGUCAGAGAGGAGAUAAAAUUCCAUGCAGCUCAUAGGGAAGAGGCAAUCGAGGUAGACUCUUGAGGUGAGAGAGGAGGAGGCAGAUAAAGCAGAUCAGGUCAAAAAGUAAUGGAGGAAACCUCAUGAAACUAGCAAAAAAAUCCAACCAUACACUUGCUCAUUAGUCUGCCUCGAACUUUGUCUGGGGCUUGGUGCUAUAUGGACAGUGGGCUUUAAGCUUCCUGCUGAGACUGGAAACUACACUGAUGAGAGCAUUGAGCAUGAACCAAGACAAGUGAAUAAAAAUAAUCAAAAGGCUAAAGGCUUAUUCUGUAAAAUUAAUUUAAGGCACUAAGGUCAGUAACACCCUUAAGGCUCAUGUAUGCUGCCUUUACGUGCUAAAAGAGGUACGUCUGUUUAAAAGUGAUGUAACCAUAACUGCCCACAUGUGUCUUUAUCAUUUGCAUGGUUGUUAGGCAAUACAUCCAUUAGAGGGCAGCGCAGAGUCGAGUGUGUCUGCGUGAAAUAACAUUAUAUAGUAUUUUCUUAACAACUCAAAGUCUCUCCUCAAAAGGUUUCACAAUUGUUGAAAUUUCUUCUUCACGAUCUCCCAUGGAACUAGUCCGUUUAGUCCAUUUUGUCGGUAUCCGUACGCCUUCAGAAGAUGUGUCCGUAUACGAAAUGAAGGUAGAGAACGCAUUUCAAUGAUAAAAGUCAUUCUAACCCAAAACGCAAGUCACCCUCAUCAUAAAACGACAUAAAAAGACUAAAAUUAUUAUCUCGCUCAUAGAAUCAUUAGAUCAAAAAAUACUUGUAUGUAUUUUCUAGAGAGCCUAUGUCAACAUUUUUGUUUGUUAAUUUGAACAAUUAAUUAAGAAUAUGGUAGAUCAUCAGGUCAACUAGUACCAUGUGUAGAUUAGGAUAUUCUUUUGUUAGCUGAAUCUAAUCAAAAUCAAAGUAGUCCGUUGGUAGUUUUAUACUUUCUGAUCCCAUUCUUCCUGCCUCAGAGGACUGGUCCACAGUCUUCCACUGCACAUGUAUGUGUUCAUACACUUGCAUGUGUUUGCACAUGCAUAUCACUAUCACUCAGUCGAGAUUCAUCCUGUCUGAACUGCGUCACCGUUCUGUCAGUCCUCUGCAGCGUAAUGAGCUGUAACGUGCCUCUCGUUCUCCCGACCCGAGCUUCCUGUCCAGUUUUCCUUCCACUAUCUCCUUCGCUUGAUGUCCCGGAGGGAAAAGUGUCCCUGACGGCUAUCAGGGUGGUCAGAGCAAGAUCACAUCACUGCGGUUAACUUUAUUAGGAAAUUAAUUUGCAGAACUAACUUCAGCCUUCGGAAGCAAAGCUAAAUGUGCUGACAGAAAUGAGCGGAGGAGAGAAAGAACAAAAAUUUGUCAUCUGAGAUAAAGAGACGCAGAGUGACACAUGAAGUGAAAAAAAAGGAAUAUCCGGGAGAUAGGGGGAAGAUAAUGAGGCAGCGAAUGCUCAUUUUCAUCUCUGCCAUUAAGCAUUUACCCACAAGGAAAGCGACAUUGUUUAAGACUGAGGAAAUGAGAGGAAAGAAGAGAGAGAGGAGAGGAAGGAAGGAGGUGUGAGAAGGAUUAUAUUUGACAGCAAUACUAACAAGUAUGAUGGAAAUAAUAUAAGUAAUAGUCGUCAGAAUCAGAAUAAGUGGGAAUGAAUGGGUUUUAAAGUAACAAACAACCGAAUACAUUUGUUGCAGUGACAAUGCAUUGAUCAGCGUGCAUGAUUUAUGAGCUCAUAUCUCCCAUCCACAAUCACAAUGAUUGGAUAUAUAGGCCACUCAGGGAGGCCCGGGUCAUUUAUUAGUCCUCACUCCUUCAUAACUACUAUCAGCAACCAUCCAUCACAUGUUCGCCACAGUUUCACUCCAGACAGAAUGUGUUUGUGGUCGUUGUUUGGUCGGUCAAGGCUCAGGUGUCCAGUGUUCACCACCACCACUACCCUCUGUCCAAUCAGCAGCCAGACUCUGCGGAAGCAUGGACUAAUGUGUGGGAUCCUAUAAGCUUGUGGAACUGACUCAAUGGACGCCACGAAAAAAAUGACAGCAUGGACAUCUUGGUGUCUGUUAUUGUGGACAGGACAAUCUUUGCCACUCUCGGACAAGGCAGUUCUUUACGUCAUCUUGCUGCUAAGACCUGCAGGCAAAGUCACACAGAAGUGAAGGUUAAAAUCUCCAACUGCAGACUCGUAUCAGUCUGUCCCAGUAACCUCAGCUACUCAGCCACUCAGCCCCAAGAUCCUCCUCAUUGAUCUUCAUUCAGGAGAAGUACUGAAUGCAACAGCCUGGAGAAAUGACAAUAACACUGGUCUGUUUGCCAGAAAAAUAAACUGUGGAGCUACAUUGCAACACUGACCCAGUUCUGCUCUGGAUGAGAAGAAAAAAGUGGGAAUGCAGGUGUAUCUGGAUGAGCAUAUUCUAAAUCAUGAUACCAAAUGGAUUUGCGUGGAGAGAGACUCUUGAUUCUUGUCCUUGUAAAAACUGCUAGGUGGUGACGUCAUGAUCCCUUGCAGGAUGAGAAAAAGAGGAAAGUAGCAUCUCAUUAAAUUAUUAUAUUAUAAUAUUUUGGGAAUGUCUUUGUUUGAGCGGAAGAUGUUUCUUCAUUCACAAAUCGGCAUAAAUACUUCAUUGUCUCCGACUGGAGCUGGACAAUACAGGAAUGACAGAAAGAUAAUUGUACAGAACCUUUUAAUCCAAAGCUUGUCUCUAAUUUGUGAGAAAACACAUAAAACUAUCUAAACAAUGAUUUGUUUAUCUCAAAUGUCUUGACUUGAUGAGGACAGGAUGAGGUAUUUGUACUUAUGAUCAGGUAUUAGCUGUGGUUACUCAGAGGCUUCACUGUGAAGUCUACAGGCUAAAACAUGUAAAGUACAAUGGUAGAGCAGAGUUAUGUGUCAUAAAGCAUCACACAUUCAUACAUCAGAUGAUCAGAAAGGAUACAACAAAUGUAACACACAUAAUGAGAAAUGUAUUACAAUGCAAACAUAUAACAGAAACACUAUGACUGUAAACAUCUGCAGCCCUGUGUGUUCAGCAGGAGGAGGUGAAACAGUAUUAAAUGUUAACAUGCUACCAUUGUAGCAUUAUCGUAUCUCAGCAUUGUGUCCACCUCACUCCACAUGCAUGGCUACUAGAUCGCUCUAAUUCCCUGACUUGUCCUCCUUAAUGGAGUUAACUGUUUACCUCCUCACAUACAUUUCAGUCAUUUGCACUUGAGUAACACAAACUACAUGCUUAGAUCUAUUAGUUGAUACAUAUUAAUGUGGCUUUAGUAUUUGUUUUUAUGAUGUUUCUAUUUAUUUAUUUUAGUUAGUUAUUCUUUACUCUUAAAGGGAGUUGUGUUAGACCUUUCUACUGUAUGAAUCUCACCCUACAUUCAAUCCUCUGUAAUAUAACUUCAUUAAAUUAUUCAGAAUGUGA
This is a long non-coding RNA of Hippoglossus stenolepis (Pacific halibut), 5879 nucleotides long. RefSeq lists it as uncharacterized. The transcript has 2 exons. The record is from RefSeq and is a predicted model, not a curated record. Lineage: Eukaryota; Metazoa; Chordata; Actinopteri; Pleuronectiformes; Pleuronectidae.